AGGAGGAGGGGCCGGCAGCCUGGAAGGGAAAGGACAGCGGAGAGCAGGGCAGAGCCUGAGCAGGCAGGACACCUCCAGGUGGGCAGGAGCUCCCACUCAGCACCAUGAGCACCGCCACAGGCCCAGAAGCUGCCCCGAAGCCAAGCGCCAAGUCUAUCUAUGAGCAGAGGAAGCGUUACUCCACAGUUGUUAUGGCUGAUGUAUCCCAGUACCCAGUCAAUCACCUGGUGACGUUCUGCCUGGGUGAGGACGAUGGCGUGCACACCGUGGAGGAUGCCUCCAGGAAGCUGGCCGUCAUGGAUAGCCAGGGCCGAGUCUGGGCACAGGAGAUGCUGCUGCGAGUGUCUCCCGACCAUGUCACGCUGCUCGACCCGGCCUCCAAGGAGGAGCUGGAGUCGUACCCACUGGGCGCCAUCGUGCGCUGUGACGCCGUGAUGCCACCCGGCAGGAGCCGCUCGUUGCUGCUGCUCGUGUGCCAGGAACCCGAGCGCGCGCAGCCAGACGUGCACUUCUUCCAGGGCCUGCGCCUCGGGGCGGAGCUGAUCCGAGAGGACAUCCAGGGGGCUCUGCACAAUUACCGCUCGGGCCGCGGGGAGCGCAGGGCGGCGGCGCUCAGGGCCACGCAGGAGGAGUUGCAGCGCGACCGCUCGCCCGCCGCUGAGACCCCGCCCCUGCAGCGCCGUCCGUCAGUCCGCGCAGUGAUCAGCACCGUAGAGCGGGGCGCGGGCCGCGGACGACCCCAGGCGAAGCCCAUUCCCGAGGCAGAGGAGGCGCAGAGGCCUGAGCCGGUGGGGACCUCGAGCAACGCUGACUGGGCCUCCCCAGACCUGGGUCCCCGGGGUCCUGACCUGGCGGUUCUGCAGGCGGAGCGGGAAGUGGACAUCCUGAACCACGUGUUCGACGACGUAGAGAGCUUUGUAUCGAGGCUGCAGAAGUCGGCGGAGGCGGCCAGGGUGCUAGAGCACCGGGAACGCGGCCGCAGGACACGGCGCCGGGCGGCUGGGGAGGGCCUGCUGACGCUGCGGGCCAAGCCGCCUUCGGAGGCCGAGUACACCGACGUGCUGCAGAAGAUCAAGUACGCCUUCAGCCUGCUGGCCCGGCUGCGCGGCAACAUCGCCGACCCCUCCUCUCCGGAGCUGUUGCACUUCCUUCUCGGGCCUCUGCAGAUGAUUGUGAACACGUCGGGGGGGCCGGAGUUCGCGAGCAGCGUGCGGCGGCCGCACCUGACAUCGGAUGCCGUGGCGCUGCUGCGGGACAACGUCACUCCAUGUGAAAACGAGCUCUGGACCUCGCUGGGGGACUCGUGGACCCGCCCCGGGCUGGAGCUGCCUCCGGACGAGGGACCCCCAUACAGACCCGAGUUCUUCAGCGGCUGGGAGCCGCCGGUCACUGACCCGCAGGGCCGCGCCUGGGAGGACCCAGUUGAGAAACAGCUACAGCACGAGCGGAGGCGCCGGCAGCAAAGCGCCCCCCAGGUCGCUGUCAAUGGGUGGGUGAGAUGGUGAUGGGGUGGGCUGGGGCCGGGAGAGAGGGAGGAGCAGGGAGGGAGGGGGGAGGGACCUAGACUUCUGGGGCCAAGGGAGGAGGGAAUGGAGACCCGGGUUCCCGGGCCUAAGGGAGGAAAGGGGCUGGGAGUGGGUAAAGUCUGAAAGGUUGGAUCCCUGGAUCCCCAAAAGGCUGGAAGAAGGCAGUUUGUUUUCCUAGGGCCU
This 1709-nucleotide small RNA is filed under the name Pongo abelii (Sumatran orangutan). Its description in RNAcentral is "processed transcript". Lineage: Eukaryota; Metazoa; Chordata; Mammalia; Primates; Hominidae. The record is from RNAcentral.